RNAcentral lists this transfer RNA (73 nucleotides) under Marmota marmota marmota (Alpine marmot). It matches the Rfam family "tRNA". Rfam says of the family: Transfer RNA (tRNA) molecules are approximately 80 nucleotides in length. Their secondary structure includes four short double-helical elements and three loops (D, anti-codon, and T loops). Lineage: Eukaryota; Metazoa; Chordata; Mammalia; Rodentia; Sciuridae. RNAcentral also lists the same sequence under 1 other name. The record is from Rfam by way of RNAcentral.
GGGGCUGUGGCUCAGAGGUAGAGCGCUCGCCUAACAUGCAUGCGUGAGGCACUGGGUUCGAUCCUCAGCCCCA